GAUUAAGUUAUUAAGGGCGCACGGUGGAUGCCUUGGCACUAGAAGCCGAUGAAGGACGUUACUAACGACGAUAUGCUUUGGGGAGCUGUAAGUAAGCUUUGAUCCAGAGAUUUCCGAAUGGGGAAACCCAGCAUGAGUUAUGUCAUGUUAUCGAUAUGUGAAUACAUAGCAUAUCAGAAGGCACACCCGGAGAACUGAAACAUCUUAGUACCCGGAGGAAGAGAAAGAAAAUUCGAUUCCCUUAGUAGCGGCGAGCGAAACGGGAAGAGCCCAAACCAACAAGCUUGCUUGUUGGGGUUGUAGGACACUCUAUACGGAGUUACAAAGGACGACAUUAGACGAAUCAUCUGGAAAGAUGAAUCAAAGAAGGUAAUAAUCCUGUAGUCGAAAAUGUUGUCUCUCUUGAGUGGAUCCUGAGUACGACGGAGCACGUGAAAUUCCGUCGGAAUCUGGGAGGACCAUCUCCUAAGGCUAAAUACUCUCUAGUGACCGAUAGUGAACCAGUACCGUGAGGGAAAGGUGAAAAGCACCCCGGAAGGGGAGUGAAAUAGAACCUGAAACCGUGUGCUUACAAGUAGUCAGAGCCCGUUAAUGGGUGAUGGCGUGCCUUUUGUAGAAUGAACCGGCGAGUUACGAUUUGAUGCAAGGUUAAGCAGUAAAUGUGGAGCCGUAGCGAAAGCGAGUCUGAAUAGGGCGUUUAGUAUUUGGUCGUAGACCCGAAACCAGGUGAUCUACCCUUGGUCAGGUUGAAGUUCAGGUAACACUGAAUGGAGGACCGAACCGACUUACGUUGAAAAGUGAGCGGAUGAACUGAGGGUAGCGGAGAAAUUCCAAUCGAACCUGGAGAUAGCUGGUUCUCUCCGAAAUAGCUUUAGGGCUAGCCUCAAGUGAUGAUUAUUGGAGGUAGAGCACUGUUUGGACGAGGGGCCCCUCUCGGGUUACCGAAUUCAGACAAACUCCGAAUGCCAAUUAAUUUAACUUGGGAGUCAGAACAUGGGUGAUAAGGUCCGUGUUCGAAAGGGAAACAGCCCAGACCACCAGCUAAGGUCCCAAAAUAUAUGUUAAGUGGAAAAGGAUGUGGCGUUGCCCAGACAACUAGGAUGUUGGCUUAGAAGCAGCCAUCAUUUAAAGAGUGCGUAAUAGCUCACUAGUCGAGUGACACUGCGCCGAAAAUGUACCGGGGCUAAACAUAUUACCGAAGCUGUGGAUUGUCCUUUGGACAAUGGUAGGAGAGCGUUCUAAGGGCGUUGAAGCAUGAUCGUAAGGACAUGUGGAGCGCUUAGAAGUGAGAAUGCCGGUGUGAGUAGCGAAAGACGGGUGAGAAUCCCGUCCACCGAUUGACUAAGGUUUCCAGAGGAAGGCUCGUCCGCUCUGGGUUAGUCGGGUCCUAAGCUGAGGCCGACAGGCGUAGGCGAUGGAUAACAGGUUGAUAUUCCUGUACCACCUAUAAUCGUUUUAAUCGAUGGGGGGACGCAGUAGGAUAGGCGAAGCGUGCGAUUGGAUUGCACGUCUAAGCAGUAAGGCUGAGUAUUAGGCAAAUCCGGUACUCGUUAAGGCUGAGCUGUGAUGGGGAGAAGACAUUGUGUCUUCGAGUCGUUGAUUUCACACUGCCGAGAAAAGCCUCUAGAUAGAAAAUAGGUGCCCGUACCGCAAACCGACACAGGUAGUCAAGAUGAGAAUUCUAAGGUGAGCGAGCGAACUCUCGUUAAGGAACUCGGCAAAAUGACCCCGUAACUUCGGGAGAAGGGGUGCUCUUUAGGGUUAACGCCCAGAAGAGCCGCAGUGAAUAGGCCCAAGCGACUGUUUAUCAAAAACACAGGUCUCUGCUAAACCGUAAGGUGAUGUAUAGGGGCUGACGCCUGCCCGGUGCUGGAAGGUUAAGAGGAGUGGUUAGCUUCUGCGAAGCUACGAAUCGAAGCCCCAGUAAACGGCGGCCGUAACUAUAACGGUCCUAAGGUAGCGAAAUUCCUUGUCGGGUAAGUUCCGACCCGCACGAAAGGCGUAACGAUUUGGGCACUGUCUCAACGAGAGACUCGGUGAAAUCAUAGUACCUGUGAAGAUGCAGGUUACCCGCGACAGGACGGAAAGACCCCGUGGAGCUUUACUGUAGCCUGAUAUUGAAAUUCGGCACAGCUUGUACAGGAUAGGUAGGAGCCUUUGAAACGUGAGCGCUAGCUUACGUGGAGGCGCUGGUGGGAUACUACCCUAGCUGUGUUGGCUUUCUAACCCGCACCACUUAUCGUGGUGGGAGACAGUGUCAGGCGGGCAGUUUGACUGGGGCGGUCGCCUCCUAAAAGGUAACGGAGGCGCUCAAAGGUUCCCUCAGAAUGGUUGGAAAUCAUUCAUAGAGUGUAAAGGCAUAAGGGAGCUUGACUGCGAGACCUACAAGUCGAGCAGGGUCGAAAGACGGACUUAGUGAUCCGGUGGUUCCGCAUGGAAGGGCCAUCGCUCAACGGAUAAAAGCUACCCCGGGGAUAACAGGCUUAUCUCCCCCAAGAGUUCACAUCGACGGGGAGGUUUGGCACCUCGAUGUCGGCUCAUCGCAUCCUGGGGCUGUAGUCGGUCCCAAGGGUUGGGCUGUUCGCCCAUUAAAGCGGUACGCGAGCUGGGUUCAGAACGUCGUGAGACAGUUCGGUCCCUAUCCGUCGU
This 2649-nucleotide ribosomal RNA is filed under the name Staphylococcus aureus. RNAcentral's name for it is "partial 23S ribosomal RNA". It matches the Rfam family "Bacterial large subunit ribosomal RNA". Lineage: Bacteria; Bacillati; Bacillota; Bacilli; Caryophanales; Staphylococcaceae. The record is from RNAcentral.